Molecule: long non-coding RNA, 2100 nt
Organism: Xenopus laevis (African clawed frog)
Lineage: Eukaryota; Metazoa; Chordata; Amphibia; Anura; Pipidae
Exons: 4
Source: RefSeq, a predicted model, not a curated record
UGCGCACGUAUCGUGGUUAGUAUUAGUUAACUGAAGCCUGACAUACUCGUACAGGCACUGCUGGUGAACUUGCGCCUGCUGUACACAAUAGUGUUUGAACACAACAGAGACCUCAGUACAAAUGUUUCACGGAGCUAUAAAGGCUUUUAACGCUCUCUAUUCAUCACAACUGGGAGUCAAGAGCAGGACUUGUUUAAUACAGGGAGAAUAUUUAAAGGGGCCAGUUACAUUUGCUUGGGGGACAAGUGAAAUUGAAAAUAGGGCAGAAUAUGGGCAUGUAGUAGUGUCUCCUGUCGCUUCUUAACUUGCGUGUCUGAACGGGAGAGCGGCCUCAUACACAGAGCUCUAACACCAGCGAAUUGCUAUUCAGGGGCUACAGCACAGGUUUCUGUGUUGUAAAACAGACCUUUGGUCAUUCUGGCCAUUUUUUUCACUUCUAGGGAAUUCAUGUCAGCGCUGGGGCAGGAACCUGUGCCGUUCCCUGGUGCAGCAGGCACACUCAGACACUUGAUGCAUUCACUGCGGGUAGCCAAUGAGAAUUCAGGGUACUAGUCCCUUAUCUCUGUCCAAUCAGAAGCUGGAGUACGUGUUACGCGCCAGGACUCUACUGUUAGUGACAUGAAAGACUCCUGUCCCGCUGUCAGACUCUAUGGUACAGGUGUAACUAAGGGAGACCGUUCUUAGCUCAGGCUGUAAUCUCAGCGCGUGCCCAAUGCAAUGGCAAAGCAGUGGUUAGUAGUAAGUAACUGCACGUCACGCUGCUGCUUUUGCAUCUCUUACGCCAUGGAGUUGUGAGGAAAACGUGAUGCGGCUGCCUACAUCCAUCUCCAGGAGCCGAGACGAGUAUUUGAGGAACAUGUGGAAAUGUCCCCGAGCCAUCGCGCCAAAUGACAGGAAGUAGCACUUAAUUAUUUCACUAAUUGCACUUGUUGCGCUGAGUUAGUCUGGUAGGGUAUCGGCAAUAGAUGCAGACACUGGCAGUGACCUCACUACUUCCCCAGGGGACUCUGUGAAAAGUUAGUACCGGGCUCCCCUCACACCCCCGGGCCAGCUAACCCCGCCCCCGUAUCAUCACCACUUCUUCCUCCGUCUCUCCCGUCCCUUUUAUACUUCAAAUUUGGGUCGUGUUAUCUGAGGCCAGCGACCUGUAUUGCUGCCCUGUCAGUGUCUGCUCACCGCCGCUGAGAAAUGUCUGUGAAUGAUCAAUGUCAAUUGAUCAAUGACCAAUGUCUGGCAUGACAACCAUCGGUGGAUAUUUUUUUAACCCCCUGAAAGAUUCAUGUCGAAUAUUCCCUUAAAGUUAUACCAGGAUUAUAAAGAAACAGGCUGGCUGUCAGGGAGUGCAGACGGGAGUUGUGAAGGGGUCAAAGAUCGUGGGGCCAAAUUGUCAUUAUUGCUGAACAAUAUCUGAAGUGUUUAAUAAUGUAUGUGCAAAUGUAUCAUUAUCAUUAUUAGUCAAUAUAGUUUGUGCUGCAGGAAGGGGGGAAGCCUGAGGUAUCCAAGUAUUUAAACGCUAGAGAAACACACACAGACAUGAUCACAUGUUCCAUGGUCACAUGACCCAGAUAACUGCCGUUUCUCUGUCAGUUAGGAGAGCCGAUCAGCCGAAGAACAGGUGAUUUCCUCAGCAGUUUUGGUCCUGACACGUCAAAAAUUGGAAAAAGGAGAUGAAAGAGAGAAGAUGACAAAGUGCGGACCGUGCGAAGAAGGCGGAAUAAGAUCACUCCGUGGUGCUCACUGGUAUAACCCUGGCCCAGUGCAGUUUUCUGCUGAUAUGAGCACCUGUCUGGGGGUUUCAGAGAAUGUGUGCCCCCUCACCACACCCUGCCCCCAUAAUGGAAAGGAGAGAAACCCCAUGUGCCCGAAUCCAUCACUUCACAAUGGAACAAGAUGAGGAAGGUUUCAAUGUCAUCCUAAAGAGGUGGGGGGAAAGUCUAUAUGAGCAUCAUGGUCACUGGAAAAGAAAAUGCAGAUGCUGCCUGAUCCCCAGACAUGUAGGCUGCUUUCACUUCUGGAUUGGCAGCUGAAGAGUCUCGAAGCACCGCACUCUUCCUCUUGUCUAUGUUCAUUGAUGCCUGAGCCUGUGCAGUGCUGCUGUUG